GUCUAUAAAUCCAUUUUGUGAGUGUACACACAAUUUUAGUGGAUAAAAAUACACUUGAUGGUGGAAGUUUCGUAGAUCUUAUGGAAGGCCCGUGACCCUCUCACCAUGAGCACGUGGAGGAUGGUUGGCCUCAACUACGUGAACUACUCGAACAUAGCCGCGAGAGUGCUGAGGAAGUCCCUCAAGGCGAAUCUGCGCGACGAAGCCGGCAAGAGGGACAUCUCUGCCAUCAGAUACUUCUACUGGCUAAAGGGAGAGAUGCUGGCUCAUGGAAAGAAACUUGAACCGGAAAAGGAACCAACUUAGCUCACGCUACUAUAACUAGAGUAGACAAUAGUUGAUUUUUUUUAUAGUUAAUAACGGUUUUAAUAUACAAAUUUAAAUUCGA
Molecule: long non-coding RNA, 388 nt
Organism: Ostrinia nubilalis (European corn borer)
Lineage: Eukaryota; Metazoa; Arthropoda; Insecta; Lepidoptera; Crambidae
Exons: 3
Source: RefSeq, a predicted model, not a curated record